This 253-nucleotide ribosomal RNA is filed under the name uncultured bacterium. Its description in RNAcentral is "partial 16S ribosomal RNA". It matches the Rfam family "Bacterial small subunit ribosomal RNA", at positions 524 to 776 of the family's 1533-position model. The record is from RNAcentral.
UACGUAGGGGGCAAGCGUUAUCCGGAAUUACUGGGUGUAAAGGGUGAGUAGGCGGCAUGGUAAGCCAGAUGUGAAAGCCUUGGGCUUAACCCGGGGAUUGCAUUUGGAACUAUCAAGCUAGAGUACAGGAGAGGAAAGCGGAAUUCCUAGUGUAGCGGUGAAAUGCGUAGAUAUUAGGAAGAACACCAGUGGCGAAGGCGGCUUUCUGGACUGAAACUGACGCUGAGGCACGAAAGCGUGGGGAGCGAACAGG